UUAUAAAUUAUUAAAAAUAAUUAUUAUAAGGUUUGUUUGAGUAUUUUAUAAAGAAAGAAUAAUUUUAAUUAUAGUUAAAUAGUAUUGUGAAAGAAAAUUGAAAUAAUUUGAAAAAUUAAUAUUUUAAAAGAAAAUUUAAUUUAUUGUACCUUGUGUAUCAGGGUUUAUCAAAUAAAAAUUAUUUAUUAUAAUUUUCUCGAUUUUAAAAGAGUUAAUAUAUUAUAAAAGUUAAUGUGACAAAAUUAUUUUGUAUAAUAUAUUGGAAAUGAAAUGUUAUUCGUUUUUAAAGGUAUCUAGUUCUUUAAGAAAUAAAUUUAAUUUAGAAAUUUUAUAUUAUUUAGUUAAAUAUAUUAACUAAAUAAUUAUUUUAUUUUAAUAUUUUGUGGGAUAAGCUGUAAAAUAAAUUAUUAAAAAUUAUUAAAUUAUUUAAUAAAUGUAAGCUUAGAAAUAGCUAUUAUUAAAGAAAUUGUUAUAAUUUAUUUUAUAAUAUUGAUUAUUUAUUUAAUUUUAAUUAUGUAUUAAAGUAUUUAUUUUAAUAAUAAAAAUAAAAAAAUAAUGAUAAAAUUAGUAUAUUAUAUUGUAAAAAUAUGAUAAAUUGAUAAGUUUUUAUAAAGAACUCGGCAAAAAUAAUGUUCGCCUGUUUAACAAAAACAUGUCUUUUUGAAUUUUUUAAAAAGUCUAGCCUGCCCACUGAAUAAUUUAAAUGGCCGCAGUAUAUUAACUGUGCAAAGGUAGCAUAAUCAUUAGUCUUUUAAUUGGAGGCUGGUAUGAAUGGUUGGACGAGAUAUUAACUGUUUCAUUAAAAUUUAUAAUAAAAUUUUAUUUUUUAGUCAAAAAGCUAAAAUAAUAUUAAAAGACGAGAAGACCCUAUAAAUCUUUAUAUAUAAAUUAUUAGAAUUUUGUAGAUUUUUUUUAUUAUAAUAGUUAAUUAUAUUUUAUUGGGGUGAUAUUAAAAUUUAAUAAACUUUUAAUUUUUAAAAUCAUUAAUUUAUGAAUAAUUGAUCCGUUAAUAACGAUUAAAAAAAUAAGUUACUUUAGGGAUAACAGCGUAAUUUUUUUGGAGAGUUCAUAUCGAUAAAAAAGAUUGCGACCUCGAUGUUGGAUUAAGAUAUAAUUUUAGGUGUAGCUGCUUAAAUUUUAAGUCUGUUCGACUUUUAAAUUCUUACAUGAUCUGAGUUCAAACCGGCGUAAGCCAGGUUGGUUUCUAUCUUUAAAAAAUAAAAAUAUUUCAGUACGAAAGGACCUAAUAUUUAAUAAAUAAUUAUUUUAAAAUUGAAUAUAAAUAAUUUAUACUAUUUUGGCAGAUUAGUGCAA
RNAcentral lists this ribosomal RNA (1314 nucleotides) under Sarcophaga tuberosa. Its description in RNAcentral is "16S ribosomal RNA". The stretch from base 1040 to 1199 matches the Rfam family "Archaeal large subunit ribosomal RNA", at positions 2544 to 2703 of the family's 2987-position model. The record is from RNAcentral. Lineage: Eukaryota; Metazoa; Arthropoda; Insecta; Diptera; Sarcophagidae.